UGACAAUUUGGAUUGCUCAAU
This is a non-coding RNA of Caenorhabditis elegans, 21 nucleotides long. The record is from Ensembl. Lineage: Eukaryota; Metazoa; Nematoda; Chromadorea; Rhabditida; Rhabditidae.